This 399-nucleotide ribosomal RNA is filed under the name uncultured soil bacterium. Its description in RNAcentral is "bacterial SSU rRNA". It matches the Rfam family "Bacterial small subunit ribosomal RNA", at positions 26 to 446 of the family's 1533-position model. The record is from RNAcentral.
AGAGCGAACGCUGGCGGCAGGCCUAACACAUGCAAGUCGAACGGACCCUUCGGGGUUAGUGGCGGACGGGUGAGUAACACGUGGGAACGUGCCUUUAGGUUCGGAAUAGCUCCUGGAAACGGGUGGUAAUGCCGAAUGUGCCCUUCGGGGGAAAGAUUUAUCGCCUUUAGAGCGGCCCGCGUCUGAUUAGCUUGUUGGUGAGGUAAUGGCUCACCAAGGCUACGAUCAGUAGCUGGUCUGAGAGGAUGACCAGCCACAUUGGGACUGAGACACGGACCCAAACUCCUACGGGAGGCAGCAGGUGGGAAUCUUGCGCGAAGUGGGACGAAACGCCUGGACGCAGGCCAGUCGCCGUCGUGUAUGAGUAGGAACGGUUCUUAAGGUAUUAGUUAAAAUUAC